RNAcentral lists this ribosomal RNA (495 nucleotides) under uncultured bacterium. RNAcentral describes it as "partial 16S ribosomal RNA". It matches the Rfam family "Bacterial small subunit ribosomal RNA", at positions 28 to 507 of the family's 1533-position model. The record is from RNAcentral.
GACGAACGCUGGCGGCGUGCCUAAUACAUGCAAGUAGAACGCUGAAGGAGGAGCUUGCUUCUCUGGAUGAGUUGCGAACGGGUGAGUAACGCGUAGGUAACCUGCCUGGUAGCGGGGGAUAACUAUUGGAAACGAUAGCUAAUACCGCAUAAGAGUAGAUGUUGAAUGACAUUUGCUUAAAAGGUGCAAUUGCAUCACUACCAGAUGGACCUGCGUUGUAUUAGCUAGUUGGUGGGGUAACGGCUUACCAAGGCGACGAUACAUAGCCGACCUGAGAGGGGGUUCGGCCACACUGGGACUGGGACACGGCCCAGACUCCUACGGGAGGCAGCAGUAGGGAAUCUUCGGCAAUGGACGGAAGUCUGACCGAGCAACGCCGCGUGAGUGAAGAAGGGUUUCGGAUCGUAAAGCUCUGUUGUAAGAGAAGAACGAGUGCGAGAGUGGAAAGUUCACACUGUGACGGUAUCUUACCAGAAAGGGACGGCUAACUACGUG